RNAcentral lists this long non-coding RNA (270 nucleotides) under Lathyrus oleraceus (garden pea). RNAcentral's name for it is "Pisum sativum (pea) long non-coding RNA (PSAT_LNC033341)". The record is from RNAcentral. Lineage: Eukaryota; Viridiplantae; Streptophyta; Magnoliopsida; Fabales; Fabaceae.
AUCUCCCAAUUUUGAAUUCCUUGUAUUCGAAGCAGAGGAAGAUGAUGUUGAAAGGAUUCCUGACGAGAUUUCCCGACUUCUUGAGCAAGAAAAGAAGAUCACUCAGCUGCAUCUCGAGAAUCUGCAAAACAGUCCAACUUGGGCAUUACAAAUGUAAUAAAAAAAAGAGAGGGGGGUAAAAAAUCAAAAUCAAAAUCAAAAUCAAAAUCAAAAUCCAAAGAAAGAAAAAAGAAAGAAAGAAACAGAAGAAAAAUAGCACCCUCAAAUCCC